GCCUCCGUAGCAUAGCAGCUAUUGCGGCAGACUUGUAAUCUGCAGGUCGGGGGUGCAAUUCCCCUCGGAGGCU
RNAcentral lists this transfer RNA (73 nucleotides) under Candidatus Woesearchaeota archaeon. RNAcentral describes it as "tRNA-Thr". It matches the Rfam family "tRNA". From Rfam's summary of the family: Transfer RNA (tRNA) molecules are approximately 80 nucleotides in length. Their secondary structure includes four short double-helical elements and three loops (D, anti-codon, and T loops). The record is from RNAcentral. RNAcentral also lists the same sequence under 1 other name. Lineage: Archaea; Nanobdellati; Candidatus Woesearchaeota.